Molecule: ribosomal RNA, 496 nt
Filed under: uncultured bacterium
Lineage: Bacteria
Description: bacterial SSU rRNA
Rfam family: Bacterial small subunit ribosomal RNA
Source: RNAcentral
GGCCUUCGGGUUGUAAACUCCUUUCGCUAGGGACGAAGCUUUUUGUGACGGUACCUAGAUAAGAAGCACCGGCUAACUACGUGCCAGCAGCCGCGGUAAUACGUAGGGUGCGAGCGUUGUCCGGAAUUACUGGGCGUAAAGGGCUCGUAGGUGGUUUGUCGCGUCGUCUGUGAAAUUCCGGGGCUUAACUCCGGGCGUGCAGGCGAUACGGGCAUAACUUGAGUACUGUAGGGGUAACUGGAAUUCCUGGUGUAGCGGUGAAAUGCGCAGAUAUCAGGAGGAACACCGAUGGCGAAGGCAGGUUACUGGGCAGUUACUGACGCUGAGGAGCGAAAGCAUGGGUAGCGAACAGGAUUAGAUACCCUGGUAGUCCAUGCCGUAAACGGUGGGCGCUAGGUGUGAGGGUCUUUUCACGACUUUCGUGCCGUAGCUAACGCAUUAAGCGCCCCGCCUGGGGAGUACGGCCGCAAGGCUAAAACUCAAAGGAAUUGACGGA